AUUUGAGUAUCUUAAAUUUAAAGUAUAACUCUGAAGAAGUUAAUAUAGGAGAUAAUCCUCUCAAGUA
This 67-nucleotide transfer RNA is filed under the name Cazira horvathi. Its description in RNAcentral is "tRNA-Phe". The record is from RNAcentral. Lineage: Eukaryota; Metazoa; Arthropoda; Insecta; Hemiptera; Pentatomidae.